This 1495-nucleotide ribosomal RNA is filed under the name uncultured bacterium. Its description in RNAcentral is "16S ribosomal RNA". It matches the Rfam family "Bacterial small subunit ribosomal RNA". The record is from RNAcentral.
UAGAGUUUGAUCUUGGCUCAGGAUGAACGCUAGCGGAAGGCAUAAUACAUGCAAGUCGAACGGGAUUAGUUGGGUAGCAAUAUCUGACUAUGAGAGUGGCGCACGGGUGCGUAACACGUAUGCAACCUACCUAAUACAGGAGGAUAGCCCCUCGAAAGAGGGAUUAAUACUCCAUAAUAUAUAGAAGAGGCAUCUCUUUUAUCUUAAAGCUCCGGCGGUAUUAGAUGGGCAUGCGUCCGAUUAGCUAGUUGGCGGGGUAAUGGCCCACCAAGGCUUCGAUCGGUAGGGGGUCUGAGAGGAUGUCCCCCCACACUGGUACUGAAACACGGACCAGACUCCUACGGGAGGCAGCAGUAGGGAAUAUUGGGCAAUGGACGCAAGUCUGACCCAGCCAUUCCGCGUGCAGGAUGAAGGCCCUAUGGGUUGUAAACUGCUUUUGUCAGAGAAAAAACCCUCAUACGUGUAUGAGGCUGAUGGUAUCUGGCGAAUAAGCAUCGGCUAACUCCGUGCCAGCAGCCGCGGUAAUACGGAGGAUGCAAGCGUUGUCCGGAUUUAUUGGGUUUAAAGGGUGCGUAGGCGGAUAAUUAAGUCAGUGGUGAAAGUUUGCGGCUCAACCGUAAAAUUGCCAUUGAAACUGAUUGUCUUGAGUACAGUUGAGGUGGGCGGAAUGUAUCAUGUAGCGGUGAAAUGCUUAGAUAUGAUACAGAACGACCUAUUGCGAAAGCAGCUCGCUUAACUGUAACUGACGCUGAGGCACGAAAGCGUGGGGAUCAAACAGGAUUAGAUACCCUGGUAGUCCACGCUGUAAACGUUGAAUACUCGAUGUUGGCGAUAUACAGUCAGCGUCCAAGAGAAAUCGUUAAGUAUUCCACCUGGGGAGUACGACCGCAAGGUUGAAACUCAAAGGAAUUGACGGGGGCCCGCACAAGCAGAGGAGCAUGUGGUUUAAUUCGAUGAUACGCGAGGAACCUUACCUGGGCUUGAAAGUUAGUGACAGGCGCUGAAAGGCGCUCUCCCUUCGGGGCACAAAACUAGGUGCUGCAUGGCUGUCGUCAGCUCGUGCCGUGAGGUGUUGGGUUAAGUCCCACAACGAGCGCAACCCCUAUCUUUAGUUGCCAUCAGGUAAUGCUGGGGACUCUAAAGAGACUGCCUACGCAAGUAGUGAGGAAGGUGGGGAUGACGUCAAGUCAUCAUGGCCCUUACGUCCAGGGCUACACACGUGCUACAAUGGUCGCUACAAAGGGUUGCCACUUAGCAAUAAGGCGCCAAUCCCUAAAAAGCGGUCUCAGUUCAGAUUGAGGUCUGCAACUCGACCUCAUGAAGCUGGAUUUGCUAGUAAUCGAAGAUCAGCAAUGCUUCGGUGAAUACGUUCCCGGGCCUUGUACACACCGCCCGUCAAGCCAUGGGAGAUGGGAGUACCUAAAGUCGAUAACCGUAAGGAGUCGCCUAGGGUAAUACCGUUGACUAGGGCUAAGUCGUAACAAGGUAGCCGUAG